UGUGAACUCGAAGAGUAGGGCGGGACACGUGGUAUCCUGUCUGAAUAUGGGGGGACCAUCCUCCAAGGCUAAAUACUCCUGACUGACCGAUAGUGAACCAGUACCGUGAGGGAAAGGCGAAAAGAACCCCGGCGAGGGGAGUGAAAAAGAACCUGAAACCGUGUACGUACAAGCAGUGGGAGCACCUUCGGGUGUGACUGCGUACCUUUUGUAUAAUGGGUCAGCGACUUAUAUUCUGUAGCAAGGUUAACCGUAUAGGGGAGCCGCAGGGAAACCGAGUCUUAACUGGGCGUUAAGUUGCAGGGUAUAGACCCGAAACCCGGUGAUCUAGCCAUGGGCAGGUUGAAGGUUGGGUAACACUAACUGGAGGACCGAACCGACUAAUGUUGAAAAAUUAGCGGAUGACUUGUGGCUGGGGGUGAAAGGCCAAUCAAACCGGGAGAUAGCUGGUUCUCCCCGAAAGCUAUUUAGGUAGCGCCUCGUGAACUCAUCUUCGGGGGUAGAGCACUGUUUCGGCUAGGGGGUCAUCCCGACUUACCAACCCGAUGCAAACUACGAAUACCGAAGAAUGUUAUCACGGGAGACACACGGCGGGUGCUAACGUCCGUCGUGAAGAGGGAAACAACCCAGACCGCCAGCUAAGGUCCCAAAGUCAUGGUUAAGUGGGAAACGAUGUGGGAAGGCACAGACAGCCAGGAUGUUGGCUUAGAAGCAGCCAUCAUUUAAAGAAAGCGUAAUAGCUCACUGGUCGAGUCGGCCUGCGCGGAAGAUGUAACGGGGCUAAACCAUGCACCGAAGCUGCGGCAGCGACACUAUGUGUUGUUGGGUAGGGGAGCGUUCUGUAAGCCUGCGAAGGUGUGCUGUGAGGCAUGCUGGAGGUAUCAGAAGUGCGAAUGCUGACAUAAGUAACGAUAAAGCGGGUGAAAAGCCCGCUCGCCGGAAGACCAAGGGUUCCUGUCCAACGUUAAUCGGGGCAGGGUGAGUCGACCCCUAAGGCGAGGCCGAAAGGCGUAGUCGAUGGGAAACAGGUUAAUAUUCCUGUACUUGGUGUUACUGCGAAGGGGGGACGGAGAAGGCUAUGUUAGCCGGGCGACGGUUGUCCCGGUUUAAGCAUGUAGGCUGGUUAUCCAGGCAAAUCCGGAUAAUCAAGGCUGAGGUGUGAUGACGAGGCACUACGGUGCUGAAGUAACAAAUGCCCUGCUUCCAGGAAAAGCCUCUAAGCAUCAGGUAACAUCAAAUCGUACCCCAAACCGACACAGGUGGUCAGGUAGAGAAUACCAAGGCGCUUGAGAGAACUCGGGUGAAGGAACUAGGCAAAAUGGUGCCGUAACUUCGGGAGAAGGCACGCUGGUGUGUAGGUGAAG
RNAcentral lists this ribosomal RNA (1364 nucleotides) under Klebsiella pneumoniae. RNAcentral's name for it is "bacterial LSU rRNA". It matches the Rfam family "Bacterial large subunit ribosomal RNA", at positions 398 to 1767 of the family's 2925-position model. The record is from RNAcentral. Lineage: Bacteria; Pseudomonadati; Pseudomonadota; Gammaproteobacteria; Enterobacterales; Enterobacteriaceae.